Molecule: ribosomal RNA, 477 nt
Filed under: uncultured anaerobic ammonium-oxidizing bacterium
Lineage: Bacteria
Description: bacterial SSU rRNA
Rfam family: Bacterial small subunit ribosomal RNA
Source: RNAcentral
UUCGCAAUGCCCGAAAGGGUGACGAAGCGACGCCGCGUGCGGGAAGAAGGCCUUCGGGUUGUAAACCGCUGUCGGGAGUUAGGAAGUGCAAGGAUGUUAAUAGCGUUCUUGCUUGACUAAGGCUCCGGAGGAAGCCACGGCUAACUCUGUGCCAGCAGCCGCGGUAAUACAGAGGCGGCAAGCGUUGUUCGGAAUUAUUGGGCGUAAAGAGCACGUAGGCGGCCGUGUAAGUCGGUUGUGAAAGCCUUCCGCUCAACGGGAGAACGGCAUCCGAUACUGCAUGGCUCGAGUGCGGGAGGGGAGAGUGGAACUUCUGGUGGAGCGGUGAAAUGCGUAGAUAUCAGAAGGAACACCGGCGGCGAAGGCGACUCUCUGGCCCGUAACUGACGCUGAGUGUGCGAAAGCUAGGGGAGCAAACGGGAUUAGAUACCCCGGUAGUCCUAGCCGUAAACGAUGGGCACUAAGUAGAGGGGUUUU